Molecule: long non-coding RNA, 226 nt
Filed under: Jatropha curcas
Lineage: Eukaryota; Viridiplantae; Streptophyta; Magnoliopsida; Malpighiales; Euphorbiaceae
Description: long non-coding RNA (JCUR_LNC003086)
Source: RNAcentral
CAGAACCUUCUCUCCCUCAAUCCGCCCUAUAUAUACACCAUUUCUCAGCACCACAAAACCUCUCAUACCCUUUUCCAUUUCUUGUACCCUUAUGUUGUUUGUCUUCGAUUCUCAUUUAACAUGACCAAUAUACCAAAAUCUCUUAUAGACUCUUCUCUUACCCUCUUUACUCUCGCCAUUUCUGCCUCCGACCCUUGGCCUUUCUCUACUCUUAUUUCCUUGUAAC